AAAGUAAGCUAGGGGUGCCUUUACGGCUGAGAGGAUGCAUGCAUCCAACUCUUGAACCUGAUUUGGUUAGUACCAACGGAGGGAAGCUGUCUUUAUUUACG
RNAcentral lists this non-coding RNA (101 nucleotides) under Pseudobacillus badius. RNAcentral's name for it is "Bacillus badius TPP sequence". It matches the Rfam family "TPP riboswitch aptamer (THI element)". From Rfam's summary of the family: Vitamin B(1) in its active form thiamin pyrophosphate (TPP) is an essential coenzyme that is synthesised by coupling of pyrimidine and thiazole moieties in bacteria. The previously detected thiamin-regulatory element, thi box was extended, resulting in a new, highly conserved RNA secondary structure, the THI element, which is widely distributed in eubacteria and also occurs in some archaea. The record is from RNAcentral. Lineage: Bacteria; Bacillati; Bacillota; Bacilli; Caryophanales; Bacillaceae.